Molecule: ribosomal RNA, 253 nt
Filed under: uncultured bacterium
Lineage: Bacteria
Description: partial 16S ribosomal RNA
Rfam family: Bacterial small subunit ribosomal RNA
Source: RNAcentral
UACGAAGGACCCGAGCGUUAUCCGGAUUUAUUGGGUUUAAAGGGUGCGUAGGCGGAUUAUUAAGUCAGUGGUGAAAGCCUACAGCUUAACUGUAGAAUUGCCAUUGAUACUGAUGAUCUUGAGUAUGAUUGAAGUGGGCGGAAUGUGUCAUGUAGCGGUGAAAUGCUUAGAUAUGCCACAGAACACCGAUUGCCAAGGCAGCUCACUAAGUCAUAACUGACGCUGAUGCGCGAAAGCGUGGGGAGCAAACAGG